CACGUAGGACGCAAGCGUUAUCCGGAAUUACUGGGCGUAAAGAGCGUGUAGGCGGUUUUGUAAGUCAACCGUGAAAGCUCCCGGCUAAACUGGGAGAGGUCGGAUGAGACUGCAGGACUUGAGGGUCGUAGAGGGGUGUGGAAUUCCGGGUGUAGUGGUGAAAUGCGUAGAGAUCCGGAGGAACACCAGAGGCGAAGGCGGCACCCUGGACGACACCAGACGCUGAGACGCGACAGCACGGGGAGCGAACGGG
RNAcentral lists this ribosomal RNA (253 nucleotides) under uncultured bacterium. RNAcentral's name for it is "partial 16S ribosomal RNA". It matches the Rfam family "Bacterial small subunit ribosomal RNA", at positions 524 to 776 of the family's 1533-position model. The record is from RNAcentral.